This 302-nucleotide long non-coding RNA is filed under the name Bos taurus (domestic cattle). Its description in RNAcentral is "long non-coding RNA NONBTAT004746". The record is from RNAcentral. Lineage: Eukaryota; Metazoa; Chordata; Mammalia; Artiodactyla; Bovidae.
CACGUAUUGCCCACCACCAUCCUAGGCACCCUCGGGGUGUAAACCAAAGCUGGGAGAACCAAAUCCAGGUGUUUGGGCAACUCUUUCUCCAGGGCUGACUUGUCUAGGGAAGAAAGUAUCUAUAUUAAGAGAACUCAUUCAUUUUCUCGACAAUGGUGCUGCUGCCUUUUCUUCCCUUCCUGGGCUUCGCUUCCCUUUCAACCUCUUCCUGAUGAUCUACAUCCAGUUCAGCUCUCCACACCAGGUCUCUGCCUGCAAUCUUCUCUCAAAGCAGGUCCUUUCCUCUAUGUAACUGUCCAGCU